Molecule: long non-coding RNA, 526 nt
Organism: Pteropus alecto (black flying fox)
Lineage: Eukaryota; Metazoa; Chordata; Mammalia; Chiroptera; Pteropodidae
Exons: 4
Source: RefSeq, a predicted model, not a curated record
AGACGGCAUAGGAUACUGGUGAAAAUAUUCAAUUCUGGAGUCAAAUUGUUCAGGUUAAAAAUCCAAGCUUUGCCUCUAUCAAGUUUUGUGAGCUUUGAAUCAUUAAAGGGAAGAAAAAAACUCAGAUUAAUACUAUGCAAAAGGAGAAUUUGGCUUAGUAUGAAAAAAGAAUUUUUCAGAAUUAUCGAAAUAUCAAAUAGGAUCAUCUUCAAGAAGAAAUUAUUUCUCUGUCUUUAAGGGCAUAGAGACAGAAGCUGAAGGGCCAUUUGGAAGCUUUUCUAAUUCCUGGAAGAAAUGUUGACAAACAAUGAAACACAUAUAUUAGGACAUCAAUGCUUUCCUCACCAGGCAGAAGCAAGCCCCAGUCCAUGCCAGGAAAUUGUUUUUGACUGGCAGACACAACAAUGACAAGAAUCAAGAUUAAGGCCUGUGAGGAAAAUGGAAAUAAAUGCUGAAAAUUCCCCUACCCACCUUGAAAGGCUAACCUGGAGUGAGAGAUUGCUUUCUCAGCUAGAUUUAUCUUUCC